UAUGGCUUAACCAUAGAACUGCUUGGGAAACUGGUAAUCUAGAGUGAGGGAGAGGCAGAUGGAAUUGGUGGUGUAGGGGUAAAAUCCGUAGAGAUCACCAGGAAUACCCAUUGCGAAGGCGAUCUGCUGGAACUCAACUGACGCUAAUGCGUGAAAGCGUGGGGAGCAAACAGGAUUAGAUACCCUGGUAGUCCACGCCCUAAACGAUGUAUACUAGUUGUUGCUAAGCUAGUCUUGGCAGUAAUGCACCUAACGGAUUAAGUAUACCGCCUGGGGAGUACGGUCGCAAGAUUAAAACUCAAAGGAAUAGACGGGGACCCGCACAAGCGGUGGAGCAUGUGGUUUAAUUCGAAGAUACGCGAAGAACCUUACCCGGACUUGAUAUCUAACAAAUCAUCUAGAGAUAGAAGAGUGUCUGCUUGCAGAAAUGUUAAGACAGGUGCUGCACGGCUGUCGUCAGCUCGUGUCGUGAGAUGUUGGGUUAAGUCCCGCAACGAGCGCAACCCACGUCAUUAGUUGCUAA
This 523-nucleotide ribosomal RNA is filed under the name uncultured Campylobacter sp. RNAcentral's name for it is "bacterial SSU rRNA". It matches the Rfam family "Bacterial small subunit ribosomal RNA", at positions 603 to 1121 of the family's 1533-position model. The record is from RNAcentral. Lineage: Bacteria; Pseudomonadati; Campylobacterota; Epsilonproteobacteria; Campylobacterales; Campylobacteraceae.